GGAUAUAUAGCUCAGUGGUAGAGUAUGUGCUUAGCAUGCAUUAGGUCCUAGGUUCAACCCCCAGGAUCUCCA
RNAcentral lists this transfer RNA (72 nucleotides) under Camelus bactrianus (Bactrian camel). It matches the Rfam family "tRNA". Rfam says of the family: Transfer RNA (tRNA) molecules are approximately 80 nucleotides in length. Their secondary structure includes four short double-helical elements and three loops (D, anti-codon, and T loops). RNAcentral also lists the same sequence under 2 other names. Lineage: Eukaryota; Metazoa; Chordata; Mammalia; Artiodactyla; Camelidae. The record is from Rfam by way of RNAcentral.